AACGAACGCUGGCGGCAGGCCUAACACAUGCAAGUCGAGCGAGGACUUCGGUUCUAGCGGCGGACGGGUGAGUAACGCGUGGGAAUGUGCCCUUCUCUACGGAAUAGCCCUGGGAAACUGGGAGUAAUACCGUAUACGCCCUUUUGGGGAAAGAUUUAUCGGAGAAGGAUCAGCCCGCGUUGGAUUAGGUAGUUGGUGGGGUAAUGGCCUACCAAGCCGACGAUCCAUAGCUGGUUUGAGAGGAUGAUCAGCCACACUGGGACUGAGACACGGCCCAGACUCCUACGGGAGGCCGCAGUGGGGAAUCUUAGACAAUGGGGGCAACCCUGAUCUAGCCAUGCCGCGUGAGUGAUGAAGGCCUUAGGGUUGUAAAGCUCUUUCAGCUGGGAAGAUAAUGACGGUACCAGCAGAAGAAGCCCCGGCUAACUCCGUG
This 433-nucleotide ribosomal RNA is filed under the name uncultured bacterium. RNAcentral's name for it is "partial 16S ribosomal RNA". It matches the Rfam family "Bacterial small subunit ribosomal RNA", at positions 29 to 507 of the family's 1533-position model. The record is from RNAcentral.